GGGUUGUGAGGUUAAGCGACUAAGCGUACACGGUGGAUGCCCUGGCAGUCAGAGGCGAUGAAGGACGUGCUAAUCUGCGAAAAGCGUCGGUAAGGUGAUAUGAACCGUUAUAGCCGGCGAUGUCCGAAUGGGGAAACCCAGUGUGAUUCGUCACACUAUCGUUAACUGAAUACAUAGGUUAACGAGGCGAACCGGGGGAACUGAAACAUCUAAGUACCCCGAGGAAAAGAAAUCAACCGAGAUUCCCCCAGUAGCGGCGAGCGAACGGGGAGCAGCCCAGAGUCUGAAUCAGCUUGUGUGUUAGUGGAACGGUCUGGAAAGUCCGACGGUACAGGGUGAUAGUCCCGUACACCAAAAUGCACAGGUUGUGAACUCGAAGAGUAGGGCGGGACACGUGGUAUCCUGUCUGAAUAUGGGGGGACCAUCCUCCAAGGCUAAAUACUCCUGACUGACCGAUAGUGAACCAGUACCGUGAGGGAAAGGCGAAAAGAACCCCGGCGAGGGGAGUGAAAAAGAACCUGAAACCGUGUACGUACAAGCAGUGGGAGCACCUUCGGGUGUGACUGCGUACCUUUUGUAUAAUGGGUCAGCGACUUAUAUUCUGUAGCAAGGUUAACCGUAUAGGGGAGCCGCAGGGAAACCGAGUCUUAACUGGGCGUUAAGUUGCAGGGUAUAGACCCGAAACCCGGUGAUCUAGCCAUGGGCAGGUUGAAGGUUGGGUAACACUAACUGGAGGACCGAACCGACUAAUGUUGAAAAAUUAGCGGAUGACUUGUGGCUGGGGGUGAAAGGCCAAUCAAACCGGGAGAUAGCUGGUUCUCCCCGAAAGCUAUUUAGGUAGCGCCUCGUGAACUCAUCUUCGGGGGUAGAGCACUGUUUCGGCUAGGGGGUCAUCCCGACUUACCAACCCGAUGCAAACUACGAAUACCGAAGAAUGUUAUCACGGGAGACACACGGCGGGUGCUAACGUCCGUCGUGAAGAGGGAAACAACCCAGACCGCCAGCUAAGGUCCCAAAGUCAUGGUUAAGUGGGAAACGAUGUGGGAAGGCACAGACAGCCAGGAUGUUGGCUUAGAAGCAGCCAUCAUUUAAAGAAAGCGUAAUAGCUCACUGGUCGAGUCGGCCUGCGCGGAAGAUGUAACGGGGCUAAACCAUGCACCGAAGCUGCGGCAGCGACACUAUGUGUUGUUGGGUAGGGGAGCGUUCUGUAAGCCUGCGAAGGUGUGCUGUGAGGCAUGCUGGAGGUAUCAGAAGUGCGAAUGCUGACAUAAGUAACGAUAAAGCGGGUGAAAAGCCCGCUCGCCGGAAGACCAAGGGUUCCUGUCCAACGUUAAUCGGGGCAGGGUGAGUCGACCCCUAAGGCGAGGCCGAAAGGCGUAGUCGAUGGGAAACAGGUUAAUAUUCCUGUACUUGGUGUUACUGCGAAGGGGGGACGGAGAAGGCUAUGUUAGCCGGGCGACGGUUGUCCCGGUUUAAGCAUGUAGGCUGGUUGUCCAGGCAAAUCCGGAUAAUCAAGGCUGAGGUGUGAUGACGAGGCACUACGGUGCUGAAGUAACAAAUGCCCUGCUUCCAGGAAAAGCCUCUAAGCAUCAGGUAACAUCAAAUCGUACCCCAAACCGACACAGGUGGUCAGGUAGAGAAUACCAAGGCGCUUGAGAGAACUCGGGUGAAGGAACUAGGCAAAAUGGUGCCGUAACUUCGGGAGAAGGCACGCUGGUGUGUAGGUGAAGUCCCUGCGGAUGGAGCUGAGACCAGUCGAAGAUACCAGCUGGCUGCAACUGUUUAUUAAAAACACAGCACUGUGCAAACACGAAAGUGGACGUAUACGGUGUGACGCCUGCCCGGUGCCGGAAGGUUAAUUGAUGGGGUUAUCCGUAAGGAGAAGCUCUUGAUCGAAGCCCCGGUAAACGGCGGCCGUAACUAUAACGGUCCUAAGGUAGCGAAAUUCCUUGUCGGGUAAGUUCCGACCUGCACGAAUGGCGUAAUGAUGGCCAGGCUGUCUCCACCCGAGACUCAGUGAAAUUGAACUCGCUGUGAAGAUGCAGUGUACCCGCGGCAAGACGGAAAGACCCCGUGAACCUUUACUAUAGCUUGACACUGAACAUUGAGCCUUGAUGUGUAGGAUAGGUGGGAGGCUUUGAAGCGUGGACGCCAGUCUGCGUGGAGCCAACCUUGAAAUACCACCCUUUAAUGUUUGAUGUUCUAACGUUGGCCCCUGACCGGGGUUGCGGACAGUGUCUGGUGGGUAGUUUGACUGGGGCGGUCUCCUCCCAAAGCGUAACGGAGGAGCACGAAGGUUAGCUAAUCCUGGUCGGACAUCAGGAGGUUAGUGCAAUGGCAUAAGCUAGCUUGACUGCGAGCGUGACGGCGCGAGCAGGUGCGAAAGCAGGUCAUAGUGAUCCGGUGGUUCUGAAUGGAAGGGCCAUCGCUCAACGGAUAAAAGGUACUCCGGGGAUAACAGGCUGAUACCGCCCAAGAGUUCAUAUCGACGGCGGUGUUUGGCACCUCGAUGUCGGCUCAUCACAUCCUGGGGCUGAAGUAGGUCCCAAGGGUAUGGCUGUUCGCCAUUUAAAGUGGUACGCGAGCUGGGUUUAGAACGUCGUGAGACAGUUCGGUCCCUAUCUGCCGUGGGCGCUGGAGAAUUGAGGGGGGCUGCUCCUAGUACGAGAGGACCGGAGUGGACGCAUCACUGGUGUUCGGGUUGUCAUGCCAAUGGCACUGCCCGGUAGCUAAAUGCGGAAGAGAUAAGUGCUGAAAGCAUCUAAGCACGAAACUUGCCCCGAGAUGAGUUCUCCCUGAGACUUUAAGUCUCCUGAAGGAACGUUAAAGACGAUGACGUUGAUAGGCCGGGUGUGUAAGCGCAGCGAUGCGUUGAGCUAACCGGUACUAAUGAACCGUGAGGCUUAACCUUACAACGCCGAAG
RNAcentral lists this ribosomal RNA (2923 nucleotides) under Klebsiella pneumoniae. RNAcentral describes it as "23S ribosomal RNA". It matches the Rfam family "Bacterial large subunit ribosomal RNA". Lineage: Bacteria; Pseudomonadati; Pseudomonadota; Gammaproteobacteria; Enterobacterales; Enterobacteriaceae. The record is from RNAcentral.